Molecule: ribosomal RNA, 490 nt
Filed under: uncultured bacterium
Lineage: Bacteria
Description: bacterial SSU rRNA
Rfam family: Bacterial small subunit ribosomal RNA
Source: RNAcentral
AACGAACGCUGGCGGCACGCCUCAUACAUGCAAGUCGAGCGCGAAACCACCUUCGGGUGAUGUAGAGCGGCGAACGGGUGAGUAACAGGUGGAUAAUCUGCCCUUUGGCGGGGGACAACAGCUGGAAACGGCUGCUAAUACCGCAUGUGGUUGUAUGCUCAUGGUGUACAAAGAAAGACGCCUCAAAGCGUCACCAAAGGAUGAGUCCGCCCCCCAUUAGCUAGUUGGUGAGAUAACAGCUCACCAAGGCAUCGAUGGGUAGCCGAGCUGAGAGGUUGAUCGGCCACACUGGAACUGAGACACGGUCCAGACACCUACGGGUGGCAGCAGUAGGGAAUAUUGCGCAAUGGGCGAAAGCCUGACGCAGCGAUGCCGCGUGAGUGACGAAGGUCUUAGGAUUGUAAAGCUCUUUUCUGUAGGGAAGAAUAGGUCUGCGAGGAAAUGGCGCGGAUUCUGACGGUACCUCAGGAAUAAGGAACGGCUAACUCCG